RNA transcript from Falco peregrinus (peregrine falcon), 5674 nucleotides. It is a transcript of the gene named TAFA chemokine like family member 5, with no coding region annotated. The transcript has 7 exons. NCBI's taxonomy places the organism in Eukaryota, Metazoa, Chordata, Aves, Falconiformes, Falconidae. The record is from RefSeq and is a predicted model, not a curated record.
CCUCCCCACCGCCCAGGGUUAGACCCGCCGGUCGCGGUGUCGCACCGGGGCGGGCGAGCGCAGGAGCGGGGCGAGGCGGCGGCGGGCGAUGCGGGUGCGGGGGCGAUGUUUGCCCCGGGGGCGGGAGCGCUCCUCCGGCGGGGACGCGCAGGUGGCGCGGCGCCGGGGGAAGGACCGCUCCGUGCGCUCUUCACCUGUGGGCGUGACCGCCGUCCCCCUCCCCCUCCGCCGCCGCCUUCUCUUUACUUGAAGGGCCGGCGCUGCUCUAGCGGCAGAGCCUAAGCGCGGAGCUGGCGGCGCAGGGAGAGGAGACCAGCCGCCGCCGAGCCUCCGCGUAAAGUGUCCCGCCCGCCGCGGAUCCGGCCCUUCGCGCCUCCGCCCCGUCGAGCCCGCCGGAGCGGCCGGGAGAGGAGAUCAGGCUGGACUGGCGGGGGGGACGCGGCGCCUCUCCUCCCGGCGGGCCGGGCUGUCUGUAUCCGCUGCCGUCCUCGGCCGUUGGCGGGCACCGCCGCCUCCCGCUCCUCCGCGGGCGCUGGGCUCGGGCGCCGACCGCCCUCGCCCGGCCGAGCUGCCUGGCCGAGCCCUCCGCCGUGGGCGGGCGGCGGCGGCCGCCGGGGUGCCCGCGCCCCUCCGUGCCCGCUGCCCCGCGGCCAUGCUGCCCUGGGCGGGCAGGCGGCGGCGGCCUGAGCGGGGGUCGCCCUAGAGCGGCGGGCGGGCGGGCGGGGGAGGCCUCCCCGCGGUAGCACCGCCUGGGCCCGCGGGCGGCCUGUGGAGGGCUGCCCCCCGGGGAGGGGAGGCGGCAGGGGAAAGGACAGCAGGCGAGACAACUUCUGCAAAUUAACAAAGGAAAGGAGAAAAAGAGGAGGAAAAAUUAAAAAUAAGGCUCGUUCGUGGGACAUCUCCAAAGCUCAGCACCACGCGAGUCCCAGCAAAACCCAGCGCACUGGUGACUCUCGCCACAGUGACGGGAGGAGAGUCGGUGACGGGCGCUGCGUCCUGCGCACCUUAGGGUCGCCUUGGCUUUCUGGCUUGACCAUGAUUCCUGCAACAGGACUAUGUUGCUGCUGAUGGACCACGGGGUCGUUGGAAGAUGCCUUCCUUGAGGAUUAUAGGUGGAGAAAGGCCAUCGGUCAAGGGGAGAGCUGGCUGGUGAAACUCUCUGACUUUCCCCCCACCAGGGAAGCGGCUUCAAUGGCUCCAUCUCCCAGGAGAAGCAGUAGGAAGGAUGCCAACGCCUUGCCAAGCAUGUCUUCAACUUUCUGGGCUAUCAUGAUCCUGGCUAGUCUCCUAAUCGCUUACUGCAAUUAUAACAGCUAUUUUGGAGCGGAUAACCCUCAAUGGCUGUAUAUGAGACAUUGCCCGGGGUGCUUCCAAGAUGCUUUUGAGCUGGGUCAACUGGCUGCAGGUACAUGUGAGAUUGUUACUUUGGACAGAGAUAGCAGUCAGCCCCGAAGGACUAUAGCCCGACAAACAGCUCGCUGUGCAUGUAAAAAAGGACAGAUUGCCGGUACAACAAGAGCAAGGCCAGCCUGUGUUGAUGCACGAAUUAUCAAAACAAAACAGUGGUGUGAAAUGCUUCCAUGUUUAGAAGGAGAAGGCUGUGAUUUGCUAAUCAAUAAAUCAGGCUGGACCUGUACACAACCAGGAGGACGGAUAAAGACAACCACGACUGAAGACCAGCUGGAAAUGUCCUGAGGCCAUGGUCUAGUGGUCUGAGCUUGGGACUGGGAGCCAGAAACUCCUGAGCUCUAAUCCCGGCUCUGACAGUGACUCCCUCUGUGGCCUUGGCCUGUCUGAGGCCAUGUGGUUUGGAGAUCUGAUCACUAGUCCGAAAAGAAAAGGCUGUUUGCAAGAUUUCUGGGGUGUUUUUUCCUGGAAAAGGUCUCCUGACAAAUGCAGCAACACAGAAUCCUCGUAGGAGUGGUUUAGGCUCUGUGUGAGCUACUUAACUUAGUCAAGUUUCACUGCUGUUGAUCAUCAUCCGUUAUAUGUCAUCAACUCAACUGUCUGUUUCUCUGUAUCUCAUGAAUGACAGCAUAAUUCCUCUACGUUAUGAGCUAAAGUUUUUCUACCAUACUAAGGAUCACUGGACUAAGGAAUAUAGAAAAAGAGAUAUGCUUGGGCAUUAGCAAUACAAAAAAGUUCAUGGUUAACGUUUCAUCUACGUUAUACACCACUGCUGGACUUGCUGUUACCUACAUGUUUUAAUCCGAAGAGUCUGCUACAAUGAAGAGUAUCAUCCCAAUCAGCCUUAGAGAAGACUGUUUUGCCUAUGGGAGGACACUGAGGUGCAAAAGAGAAACUCUUCUUGUGCCCUAAACUGUCUGAAUUGCUUUUAUUUUCUUAUACUUUCAGUAUAUACAAUAGACCAAAGAGCAAAAUCUAUUUUAAAGUGGACACAAUCUUACUGUUAACAGAGUUAUGUCAUUAAAUUGUAGGAGGUCUCCACAUAGACAUGAUUCCAGCUUUCACAAAGCUGAUAUGUUGUUGUCCAGCAGAUGUCUUUAUGGAAAGCUGCAGUAAAAACUAACUCAGAGACCUGCUCUUGAAAUGCCACGUUCAAGAGAAAAUAAUGGAGCACUGAGAGAAAAUGACAUGUGUUUGAAAACCUUGGACAAAAAGAACACAAACUGUCUACACAGCACCUUUAUUCCUCUGUACUUAGAUUGACUUUCUCGUACUAAAAUCAUUUUCAGUUUUAACCAGUUAAACAUGCCUCUUCUACAGUUCCAUUUUUGAUAGUUAAAGUUGGAUAAUACAGUAUUUGCAAAGAGCAUGUUUGGUCAUCUGUGGCCUAUGUCUCAUCUGAUACACCAUUUAGCACCAGAAAGCAAAUUAAAGAGAAAACAAAAGUAACACUUGUUUGAAAGAGAUCAUUAAAUGUAUUUUGAAAAGCCUAAAGUUAUAUAUUUAACAGUUUUUAUAUGUUGUAUAUUUGUAGAAAAUCCUAUUUAACAAUUAACGUGAUAACUCUGACAGUCAUGACAAGUGGUUCAGAGUUAAGUUGUGUUUUAUUACUUCAGUUGUCUCUGAAGUGACUGGUGUCGUUUGCUUUCUUCCAUUGGGACAUUCUGGAUGUAAAGCAUGACCAGAGAGGACUGUGUAGAAAAAGCAAAGAAUAAUGUUGUUUAUAUUACAUAAAUGCAUUCAACCAUUGCACUGUUGGAAGGCAUUUUUUAUUUUUAUUUUAUUUUUAUUUUUUUGUCUUUAUGUACUGAUAAAAAUAGAGUGUAAAAUAUUUUACUCAUUGCUCUUCAUAGCAAAGUUUGUUUUUCUUUCUUACUUCCUAUCUUUCUUUCAUUUUCUUCCUUCCUUCUUUCCUUCCUCUCUUUCUGUCCUUCCCUUUUCUCUCUUUUUCUCUCUUUCCUUCUCUCUCUCUUUCUUUCUUUCUUCUCCUCCCCACCCCCCACCCACCGACACACACCGUAAGGGUCAGUUUGAAGCCUGUUCCUUGAUCCCAUUUUCAGUGUUUUACCUCAUUGUUAGAAAGCCCACAUUUUUGGCAUUAUUGGUUAGUGACAAUUUAGAAAAGACAGCAUAGACAAGGGGGAAAUAAUGACAAAACAGAGAAACAAGCAAAACCUUGUUCCCUUUUACUGUACCUUUCGGUAUGUAAGUUUGGUACAUAUUGAUAUGAUGCAAUCAACAGGGGAGCUUAAUUUCUUCCUGGCAAAUGUAUUAUGGUUUCAAGUAUACUACCUAAUACUCCAAUUAACUUUUAGUGUUAUGCUAGUUCUAUUCUACUAAAGAAAAAUAUAUAGCGAUUGUUCAAGUGACCAUAGAUGAAAGGUACAAAAAUGAAAGUUGAUUAAAGAAAUUUUUUGAAGGCCUGCUCUAAUACUGAGGCUUAUUUAAUGCAGAGGUUGCAGGAAACAUGAACUAUAGAUCAUUUUGUCUUCAAGUAAAAUCAAUAUAUACAAAAUUCUUAUUUAAUCUUAGCAUUUUGACCAGUGUCAAAGUAGCAAUUAAAGCCCAGCCACUUGAAAAGUGUUAUGGACUGACUGCACUAUAAAUGACCAAUGUCAGGUUUAAAAUGUCAUGCAAUAAAUGAUGGUAAAUACAUUUACUGUACAUGUAGACCUCAAGAGCCAGAUCCCUCACUCUACCAACUCUCUGUUUUGAUUUAUUUUAAAGGGAGUGUAGUAGCCUUAUUUAGUAAACAGAACAAUUAAAGAUGUUACAUCAUUUUUGUUGCUUUACAGUAUUCAGUUAUGUGUUGGUUCAGCUAAAUUAUGAAAAAUAAAGAAAAUCCUUUUGUAAGUGAGACUUCUGUUCCCUGAGCAUGACGUCACCAAAGGAAUUUCACCUGAUAAUUAGUGAGGUGGGGCACAGAGAUGAAGACUUAGCAAUGGAAUGGAAAUGGAGGAUGAGUUGUGUUUUGAAACUGAAGUUUUACCCUUCCCUUUUUAGGUCUUGGGUACCUUCAUUCUGGUAUGCUCAGUUAUAGAUCAGAUUAAGGUCAUUUAUUUUCUAGAAACCAGAUCCCACUAAAGGAUCUAAGAAUGGACAUCUGAAAUCUAUACAUCUUAAAUCAUACCUUCCUGUUGGUUCUGAAUAUGCAAGCUUAUGUCUUUGUUUUCUGAGUACUUUAAAUGCUCAACAAAAGAGAGAUGUACAUUGUUUAUAAGGUCUACUCUGGUUAAGAAAUAUCAAAGACAAAAUAUUCUGAUUAUUCAUCAGAGGUGCAUUCUAGUUGCUGAGUCAACAGACACCUCAAAGCACUUAAAGUGUGUUUUGUACUUUUCACUCCUCCUCCAAAAUGUACAGUUUUAAACAAACAAAAUAUACUGGCUGCCUUUGUCACUGUGAAUUACUACUCUAAGAGCAGUGGUGAAAUGUUUCUGUCUCAGGAACAAUAUAUUUUCAGAAUAUUGUGAACUUCUAAUUUUACAAAGCUAAGUUACAUAAAAAUUUGUUUGUUUCUGAAAGUAUUUGAUGUGCCUCUUCCAAAGCAAAAUUUGAAACACAGAAGGGAAUGUCUUGUUUGAAUGCUAUUAAAUAUCCUUCGUUUCUCAGCUUGCAAACAAGUAACUUUUUCAAAAUAUGCUUGAAAGGGAACAAAAGAAUACAGAAAAAACACAUAAUAGACUAAUAAAAACAACCUCUAGAAAUGCAGUAAACCUUUAAACAUUUUUUGAAAAAAGCUUCUCUCUUAGCCCAGGCAAGGACAUAUUUAAUGACUACUUUAAACAUCUGGGAUAUCAAAUGGAGCAAAUAUUAACACACUAUAGCAAUGAAUAUGACACAUCAUUCACCAAUUUCAUAAUUAUGCUUUUAGCUUUUUUGGGGGUUGGGGUUUUUUUUGCCAAUUCAUUUCUUCUCUGCAGUAGCUCAGGUUUUAUGCAUGUGGUAUCCUCAAUCAUUCACUUGUUUACUGAAACUGUACCCACAUGCUGUUGCAUAAAUCUUUAACCCAGGCACUUACUAUCUAAUAUAGCCUAUUCAUCACAAUCGUGAGUACUAAUUAGAGUUUCCAGAAGAAAAUAAAGAAUUCAACACUGUGUCUGAAGAGCCUAUGUGAGUAUAAGAAACAGCUGAACUAGAAGAUGGUAAAUUGAUUGGUUGAUAGGAAAAUCAGAGCACUAACUGCCUGGGCCGCUGAACUAGUGGAAAGAAAAAAGCACAAGCCAACAUCGCAUGUAGACACAAGAAGCCAAAAAAAAAAAAAGAAAAA